CCUGAUGGCUCAGUUGGUAAAGAAUCUGCCUGCAAUGCAGGAGACCCAGGUUUGAUUCCUGGGUCAGGA
This 69-nucleotide transfer RNA is filed under the name Bos taurus (domestic cattle). It matches the Rfam family "tRNA". From Rfam's summary of the family: Transfer RNA (tRNA) molecules are approximately 80 nucleotides in length. Their secondary structure includes four short double-helical elements and three loops (D, anti-codon, and T loops). Further hydrogen bonds mediate the characteristic L-shaped molecular structure. tRNAs have two regions of fundamental functional importance: the anti-codon, which is responsible for specific mRNA codon recognition, and the 3' end, to which the tRNAs corresponding amino acid is attached (by aminoacyl-tRNA synthetases). tRNAs cope with the degeneracy of the genetic code in two manners: having more than one tRNA (with a specific anti-codon) for a particular amino acid; and 'wobble' base-pairing, i.e. permitting non-standard base-pairing at the 3rd anti-codon position. The record is from Rfam by way of RNAcentral. Lineage: Eukaryota; Metazoa; Chordata; Mammalia; Artiodactyla; Bovidae. RNAcentral also lists the same sequence under 5 other names.